Molecule: non-coding RNA, 148 nt
Filed under: Gorilla gorilla gorilla (western lowland gorilla)
Lineage: Eukaryota; Metazoa; Chordata; Mammalia; Primates; Hominidae
Source: Rfam by way of RNAcentral
GCCAGGUGUGGUGGUGUGCUCCUGUAAUCCCAGCUACUUGGGAGGCUGAGGCAGGAGAAUCACUUGAACCCAGGAGGCCGAGGGUGCAGUGAGCUGAGAUCACCCCACUGCACUCUAGCCUGGGCGACAGAGUGAGACUCCAUCUCAA